AUAGGUGUAGCACAGUUGGUAGUGUACUGCAUUUGGGAUGCAGGGGUCGCUGGUUCGAGUCCAGUCACCUAUA
RNAcentral lists this transfer RNA (73 nucleotides) under Bacteriophage sp. RNAcentral describes it as "tRNA-Pro". It matches the Rfam family "tRNA". Rfam says of the family: Transfer RNA (tRNA) molecules are approximately 80 nucleotides in length. Their secondary structure includes four short double-helical elements and three loops (D, anti-codon, and T loops). The record is from RNAcentral. RNAcentral also lists the same sequence under 1 other name.